RNAcentral lists this ribosomal RNA (251 nucleotides) under uncultured bacterium. RNAcentral's name for it is "partial 16S ribosomal RNA". It matches the Rfam family "Bacterial small subunit ribosomal RNA", at positions 57 to 305 of the family's 1533-position model. The record is from RNAcentral.
GCAAGUCGAGGGGCAGCAUUACCGCUUGCGGUAGAUGGCGACCGGCGCACGGGUGCGUAACGCGUAUGCAACCUACCUUUUACUGAGGGAUAGCUUGAAGAAAUUCGGAUUAAUACCUCAUAACAUUAUGAUAUCACAUGUUAUUAUAAUUAAAACUCCGGUGGUAAAAGAUGGGCAUGCGUGACAUUAGGUAGUUGGUGAGGUAACGGCUCACCAAGCCGACGAUGUCUAGGGGUUCUGAGAGGAAGGUC